RNAcentral lists this ribosomal RNA (751 nucleotides) under Bradyrhizobium sp. URHD0032. Its description in RNAcentral is "bacterial SSU rRNA". It matches the Rfam family "Bacterial small subunit ribosomal RNA", at positions 56 to 853 of the family's 1533-position model. Lineage: Bacteria; Pseudomonadati; Pseudomonadota; Alphaproteobacteria; Hyphomicrobiales; Nitrobacteraceae. The record is from RNAcentral.
UGCAGUCGAGCGGGCGUAGCAAUACGUCAGCGGCAGACGGGUGAGUAACGCGUGGGAACAUACCUUUUGGUUCGGAACAACACAGGGAAACUUGUGCUAAUACCGGAUAAGCCCUUACGGGGAAAGAUUUAUCGCCGAAAGAUUGGCCCGCGUCUGAUUAGCUAGUUGGUGAGGUAAUGGCUCACCAAGGCGACGAUCAGUAGCUGGUCUGAGAGGAUGAUCAGCCACAUUGGGACUGAGACACGGCCCAAACUCCUACGGGAGGCAGCAGUGGGGAAUAUUGGACAAUGGGCGCAAGCCUGAUCCAGCCAUGCCGCGUGAGUGAUGAAGGCCCUAGGGUUGUAAAGCUCUUUUGUGCGGGAAGAUAAUGACGGUACCGCAAGAAUAAGCCCCGGCUAACUUCGUGCCAGCAGCCGCGGUAAUACGAAGGGGGCUAGCGUUGCUCGGAAUCACUGGGCGUAAAGGGUGCGUAGGCGGGUCUUUAAGUCAGGGGUGAAAUCCUGGAGCUCAACUCCAGAACUGCCUUUGAUACUGAGGAUCUUGAGUUCGGGAGAGGUGAGUGGAACUGCGAGUGUANAGGUGAAAUUCGUAGAUAUUCGCAAGAACACCAGUGGCGAANGCGGCUCACUGGCCCGAUACUGACGCUGANGCACNAAAGCGUGGGGAGCAAACANGAUUANAUACCCUGGUANUCCACGCCGUAAACGAUGAAUGCCNGCCGUUAGUGGGUUUACUCACUANUGGCGCAGCU